Molecule: ribosomal RNA, 402 nt
Filed under: Verrucomicrobiota bacterium
Lineage: Bacteria; Pseudomonadati; Verrucomicrobiota
Description: Verrucomicrobia bacterium partial 16S ribosomal RNA
Rfam family: Bacterial small subunit ribosomal RNA
Source: RNAcentral
UGGGGAAUUUUGCACAAUGGGGGAAACCCUGAUGCAGCGACGCCGCGUGAUUUAGAAGGCCUUCGGGUUGUAAAAAUCUCUUGUAUGGGAAGAAAAUGACAGUACCAUACGAAUAAGGACCGGCUAAUUACGUGCCAGCAGCCGCGGUAAUACGUAAGGUCCGAGCGUUGUCCGGAAUCAUUGGGCGUAAAGGGUACGUAGGCGGAUAAGCAAGUUAGAAGUGAAAUCCUAUAGCUCAACUAUAGUAAGCUUUUAAAACUGCUCAUCUUGAGGUAUGGAAGGGAAAGUGGAAUUCCUAGUGUAGCGGUGAAAUGCGCAGAUAUUAGGAGGAAUACCGGUGGCGAAGGCGACUUUCUGGCCAUAUACUGACGCUGAUGUACGAAAGCGUGGGUAGCAAACAGG